This 945-nucleotide ribosomal RNA is filed under the name uncultured bacterium. RNAcentral's name for it is "bacterial SSU rRNA". It matches the Rfam family "Bacterial small subunit ribosomal RNA", at positions 59 to 1000 of the family's 1533-position model. The record is from RNAcentral.
CAGUCGAGCGAUCCAUUAUAAUGCGCAAGCAUUGUGAUGGGGAGCGGCAAACGGGUGCGUAACACAUUGGUAAUCCACCCCGAAGUUUGGCACAACUCCGCGAAAGCGGAGCUAAUUCCAAAUGUGGUCACCGAAUGAUGAUUCGGUGAGUAAAGCGCAAAACGCGCUUCGGGAGGGGCCUAUGGCCUAUCAGCUAGUUGGUGAGGUAAUGGCUCACCAAGGCAAUGACGGGUAUGGGGUGUGAGAGCACGACCCCACUCACUGGGACUGAGACACUGCCCAGACACCUACGGGUGGCUGCAGUCGCGAAUAUUCCCCAAUGGGCGAAAGCCUGAGGGAGCGACGCCGCGUGAAGGAUGAAGGUCUUCGGAUUGUAAACUUCUUUUCCUUGGGACGAAGCUUCGGCUGACGGUACCAAGGGAAUAAGAGGUUGCUAACUCUGUGCCAGCAGCAGCGGUAAUACAGAGACCUCAAGCGUUGUCCGGAUUUAUUGGGCGUAAAGCGUCCGCAGACGGUCUGUUAAGUCUUUCGUUAAAUCUUUGGGCUCAACCCAAAGGCCGCGCAAGAAACUAGCAGACUCGAGGAUGGGAGAGGCGAGCGGAAUUGCCGGUGUAGUAGUAAAAUGCGUUAAUAUCGGCAAGAACACCAAAGGCGAAGGCAGCUCGCUGGAACAUUCCUGACGUUAAGGGACGAAAGCACGGGGAGCGAAGCGGAUUAGAUACCCGCGUAGUCCGUGCCCUAAACGAUGGGUGCUGGAUUUUGGGAGUUUCGACCCUCUCAGAGUCGUCAAAACAAGCUAACGCGUUAAGCACCCCGCCUGGGGAGUACGGCCGCAAGGCUAAAACUCAAAGGAAUAGACGGGGACCCGCACAAGCGGUGGUCCAUGUGGUUUAAUUCGACGGUAAACGAGAACCUCACCAGGGUUUGAAAUGUAGCUGCAAGGCC